Molecule: ribosomal RNA, 353 nt
Filed under: uncultured bacterium
Lineage: Bacteria
Description: bacterial SSU rRNA
Rfam family: Bacterial small subunit ribosomal RNA
Source: RNAcentral
AGAGUUUGAUCCUGGCUCAGGAUGAGCGCUAGCUACAGGCUUAACACAUGCAAGUCGAGGGGAAACGAUAUUGGAAGCCUGCUUCCGAUAGGCGUCGACCGGCGCACGGGUGAGUAACGCGUAUCCAACCUGCCCACCACUUGGGGAUAACCUUGCGAAAGUAAGACUAAUACCCAAUGAUAUCUCUAGAAGACAUCUGAAAGAGAUUAAAGAUUUAUCGGUGAUGGAUGGGGAUGCGUCUGAUUAGCUUGUUGGCGGGGUAACGGCCCACCAAGGCGACGAUCAGUAGGGGUUCUGAGAGGAAGGUCCCCCANAUUGGAACUGAGACACGGUCCAAACUCCUACGGGAGGCA